UUACCCUCUCCCCUUUAUCUACCUCGAACCAAACCGGCCCUAAAGAGACAAAUUCAACACUUUGAACUACCUAGGAGAUAUUUGCUAAGUGUUCUAAAGGGGCAAAUACAACACAUUGAUCAACUUUUAAUUGCUAAAAAUUUCUAAUUGUUUUUAAUAUUGCAUGUGCUUUAUACACUAUAAAUUGAUGAAAUCAAAUCAUAUUCUAUUUUGUUACAUGUGAAGAGAAAAAAAUAUGGCUAAAACUCUCAAGUUUUUGUCCACUAUGAUUUUAUUUCUUUU
Molecule: long non-coding RNA, 282 nt
Filed under: Trifolium pratense (red clover)
Lineage: Eukaryota; Viridiplantae; Streptophyta; Magnoliopsida; Fabales; Fabaceae
Description: long non-coding RNA (TPRA_LNC003358)
Source: RNAcentral